GACGAACGCUGGCGGCGUGCUUAACACAUGCAAGUCGAGCGGUAAAGCCCUUUCGGGGGGUACACGAGCGGCGAACGGGUGAGUAACACGUGGGUGACCUGCCCUCAGCUCUGGGAUAAGCCUGGGAAACUGGGUCUAAUACCGGAUAUGACCCUAUGGCGCAUGUUGUGGGGUGGAAAGCCUUGUGCGGCUAGGGAUGGGCCCGCGGCCUAUCAGCUUGUUGGUGGGGUGAUGGCCACCAAGGCGACGACGGGUAGCCGGCCUGAGAGGGCGACCGGCCACACUGGGACUGAGACACGGCCCAGACUCCUACGGGAGGCAGCAGUGGGGAAUCUUGCGCAAUGGGCGAAAGCCUGACGCAGCGACGCCGCGUGAGGGAUGACGGCCUGUGU
This 392-nucleotide ribosomal RNA is filed under the name uncultured bacterium. Its description in RNAcentral is "bacterial SSU rRNA". It matches the Rfam family "Bacterial small subunit ribosomal RNA", at positions 28 to 421 of the family's 1533-position model. The record is from RNAcentral.